CAGUCGCCACGGUAAUACGAAGGGGGCUAGCGUUGUUCGGAUUUACUGGGCGUAAAGGGCGCGUAGGCGGGCGAAUAAGUCAGGGGUGAAAUCCCAAGGCUCAACCUUGGAACUGCCUUUGAUACUGGCGACCUUGAGUAUGGGAGAGGUAAGCGGAACUCCGAGUGUAGAGGUGAAAUUCGUAGAUAUUCGGAAGAACACCAGUGGCGAAGGCGGCUUACUGGCCCAUUACUGACGCUGAGGCUCGAAAGCGUGGGGAGCAAACAGGAUUAGAUACCCGAGUAGUCCCUGUCUCUUAUAC
Molecule: ribosomal RNA, 301 nt
Filed under: uncultured bacterium
Lineage: Bacteria
Description: partial 16S ribosomal RNA
Rfam family: Bacterial small subunit ribosomal RNA
Source: RNAcentral